This is a small nucleolar RNA of Claviceps purpurea 20.1, 84 nucleotides long. NCBI's taxonomy places the organism in Eukaryota, Fungi, Ascomycota, Sordariomycetes, Hypocreales, Clavicipitaceae. The record is from Rfam.
CUACAAUGAUGAGAAUCAUUUUUAUCAGUUCUGCUACUGAAUUACUGUGAUGACCUUCAAAUACCAUACCAAGAUCUCUGAUGG